GGAAGUGCUAUAGCUCUGUGGUAAGAGUGUCUGCUUUGGAUGCAGAAGGCUCCAGGUUCAAUCCCUGGCAUCUCCA
Non-coding RNA from Podarcis raffonei (Aeolian wall lizard), 76 nucleotides. NCBI's taxonomy places the organism in Eukaryota, Metazoa, Chordata, Lepidosauria, Squamata, Lacertidae. The record is from the annotation of a RefSeq genome assembly.